CGGGACGGGUGAGUAAUGUCUGGGAAACUGCCUGAUGGAGGGGGGUAACUACUGGAAACGGUAGCUAAUACCGCAUAACGUCGCAAGACCAAAGAGGGGGACCUUCGGGCCUCUUGCCAUCGGAUGUGCCCAGAUGGGAUUAGCUAGUAGGUGGGGUAACGGCUCACCUAGGCGACGAUCCCUAGCUGGUCUGAGAGGAUGACCAGCCACACUGGAACUGAGGCACGGUCCAG
Molecule: ribosomal RNA, 233 nt
Filed under: uncultured bacterium
Lineage: Bacteria
Description: partial 16S ribosomal RNA
Rfam family: Bacterial small subunit ribosomal RNA
Source: RNAcentral